This 3041-nucleotide ribosomal RNA is filed under the name Campylobacter jejuni. RNAcentral's name for it is "bacterial LSU rRNA". It matches the Rfam family "Bacterial large subunit ribosomal RNA". Lineage: Bacteria; Pseudomonadati; Campylobacterota; Epsilonproteobacteria; Campylobacterales; Campylobacteraceae. RNAcentral also lists the same sequence under 2 other names. The record is from RNAcentral.
AGAGCGAAUGGUGGAUGCCUUGACUGGUAAAGGCGAUGAAGGACGUACUAGACUGCGAUAAGCUACGGGGAGCUGUCAAGAAGCUUUGAUCCGUAGAUUUCCGAAUGGGGCAACCCAAUGUAUAGAGAUAUACAUUACCUAUAUAGGAGCGAACGAGGGGAAUUGAAACAUCUUAGUACCCUCAGGAAAAGAAAUCAAUAGAGAUUGCGUCAGUAGCGGCGAGCGAAAGCGCAAGAGGGCAAACCCAGUGCUUGCACUGGGGGUUGUAGGACUGCAAUGUGCAAGAGGUAAGUUUAGCAGAACAUUCUGGAAAGUAUAACCAUAGAGGGUGAUAGUCCCGUAUGCGAAAAACAAACCUUAGCUAGCAGUAUCCUGAGUAGGGCGGGACACGAGGAAUCCUGUCUGAAUCCGGGUCGACCACGAUCCAACCCUAAAUACUAAUACCAGAUCGAUAGUGCACAAGUACCGUGAGGGAAAGGUGAAAAGAACUGAGGUGAUCAGAGUGAAAUAGAACCUGAAACCAUUUGCUUACAAUCAUUCAGAGCCCUAUGUAGCAAUACAGGGUGAUGGACUGCCUUUUGCAUAAUGAGCCUGCGAGUUGUGGUGUCUGGCAAGGUUAAGCAAACGCGAAGCCGUAGCGAAAGCGAGUCUGAAUAGGGCGCUUAGUCAGAUGCUGCAGACCCGAAACGAAGUGAUCUAUCCAUGAGCAAGUUGAAGCUAGUGUAAGAACUAGUGGAGGACUGAACCCAUAGGCGUUGAAAAGCCCCGGGAUGACUUGUGGAUAGGGGUGAAAGGCCAAUCAAACUUCGUGAUAGCUGGUUCUCUCCGAAAUAUAUUUAGGUAUAGCGUUGUGUCGUAAUAUAAGGGGGUAGAGCACUGAAUGGGCUAGGGCAUACACCAAUGUACCAAACCCUAUCAAACUCCGAAUACCUUAUAUGUAAUCACAGCAGUCAGGCGGCGAGUGAUAAAAUCCGUCGUCAAGAGGGAAACAACCCAGACUACCAGCUAAGGUCCCUAAAUCUUACUUAAGUGGAAAACGAUGUGAAGUUACUUAAACAACCAGGAGGUUGGCUUAGAAGCAGCCAUCCUUUAAAGAAAGCGUAAUAGCUCACUGGUCUAGUGAUUUUGCGCGGAAAAUAUAACGGGGCUAAAGUAAGUACCGAAGCUGUAGACUUGCACACAACUUAGAUUAUUUAAGUUUAGAAUAUGAGAAACUAAGUUAUAUGUUUAGUUAUAUUUUUACUGAUUUUUAUAGAGUAAAGAUAGAAAUAAAACUUAGUAAAAUCAGUAAAAAUAUUCUUAGACUAAAGUUAAGUAGUUUAAGUUGUGUGCAAGUGGUAGGAGAGCGUUCUAUUUGCGUCGAAGGUAUACCGGUAAGGAGUGCUGGAGCGAAUAGAAGUGAGCAUGCAGGCAUGAGUAGCGAUAAUUAAUGUGAGAAUCAUUAACGCCGUAAACCCAAGGUUUCCUACGCGAUGCUCGUCAUCGUAGGGUUAGUCGGGUCCUAAGUCGAGUCCGAAAGGGGUAGACGAUGGCAAAUUGGUUAAUAUUCCAAUACCAACAUUAGUGUGCGAUGGAAGGACGCUUAGGGCUAAGGGGGCUAGCGGAUGGAAGUGCUAGUCUAAGGUCGUAGGAGGUUAUACAGGCAAAUCCGUAUAACAAUACUCCGAGAACUGAAAGGCUUUUUGAAGUCUUCGGAUGGAUAGAAGAACCCCUGAUGCCGUCGAGCCAAGAAAAGUUUCUAAGUUUAGCUAAUGUUGCCCGUACCGUAAACCGACACAGGUGGGUGGGAUGAGUAUUCUAAGGCGCGUGGAAGAACUCUCUUUAAGGAACUCUGCAAAAUAGCACCGUAUCUUCGGUAUAAGGUGUGGUUAGCUUUGUAUUAGGAUUUACUCCGAAAGCAAGGAAACUUACAACAAAGAGUCCCUCCCGACUGUUUACCAAAAACACAGCACUCUGCUAACUCGUAAGAGGAUGUAUAGGGUGUGACGCCUGCCCGGUGCUCGAAGGUUAAUUGAUGGGGUUAGCAUUAGCGAAGCUCUUGAUCGAAGCCCGAGUAAACGGCGGCCGUAACUAUAACGGUCCUAAGGUAGCGAAAUUCCUUGUCGGUUAAAUACCGACCUGCAUGAAUGGCGUAACGAGAUGGGAGCUGUCUCAAAGAGGGAUCCAGUGAAAUUGUAGUGGAGGUGAAAAUUCCUCCUACCCGCGGCAAGACGGAAAGACCCCGUGGACCUUUACUACAGCUUGACACUGCUACUUGGAUAAGAAUGUGCAGGAUAGGUGGGAGGCUUUGAGUAUAUGACGCCAGUUGUAUAUGAGCCAUUGUUGAGAUACCACUCUUUCUUAUUUGGGUAGCUAACCAGCUUGAGUUAUCCUCAAGUGGGACAAUGUCUGGUGGGUAGUUUGACUGGGGCGGUCGCCUCCCAAAUAAUAACGGAGGCUUACAAAGGUUGGCUCAGAACGGUUGGAAAUCGUUCGUAGAGUAUAAAGGUAUAAGCCAGCUUAACUGCAAGACAUACAAGUCAAGCAGAGACGAAAGUCGGUCUUAGUGAUCCGGUGGUUCUGUGUGGAAGGGCCAUCGCUCAAAGGAUAAAAGGUACCCCGGGGAUAACAGGCUGAUCUCCCCCAAGAGCUCACAUCGACGGGGAGGUUUGGCACCUCGAUGUCGGCUCAUCGCAUCCUGGGGCUGGAGCAGGUCCCAAGGGUAUGGCUGUUCGCCAUUUAAAGCGGUACGCGAGCUGGGUUCAGAACGUCGUGAGACAGUUCGGUCCCUAUCUGCCGUGGGCGUAAGAAGAUUGAAGAGAUUUGACCCUAGUACGAGAGGACCGGGUUGAACAAACCACUGGUGUAGCUGUUGUUCUGCCAAGAGCAUCGCAGCGUAGCUAAGUUUGGAAAGGAUAAACGCUGAAAGCAUCUAAGCGUGAAGCCAACUCUAAGAUGAAUCUUCUCUAAGCUCUCUAGAAGACUACUAGUUUGAUAGGCUGGGUGUGUAAUGGAUGAAAGUCCUUUAGCUGACCAGUACUAAUAGAGCGUUUGGCUUAUCU